AGGGUUUGAUCAUGGCUCAGAACGUACGCUGGCGGCACGCCUAACACAUGCAAGUCGAGCGGGGUAGCAAUACCUAGCGGCAGACGGGUGCGUAACAUGUGGGAAUCUGCCUUUUGGUUCGGAACAACACGGGGAAACCUGUGCUAAUACCGGAUAAGUCCUUACGGAGAAAGUUUUAAUGCCAAAAGAUGAGCCCGCAUUUGAUUAGCUAGUUGGUGAGGUAAAAGCUCACCAAGGCGAUAAUCAAUAGCUGAUUUGAGAGGAUGAUCAGCCACACUGGGACUGAGAUACGGCCCAGACUCCUACGGGAGGCAGCAGUGGGGAAUCUUGCACAAUGGGCGAAAGCCUGAUGCAGCGAUGCCGCGUGAGUGAAGAAGGCCUUUGGGUUGUAAAGCUCUUUUGUCGGGAAAGAUAAUGACUGUACCCGAAGAAUAAGGUCCGGCUAACUUCGUGCCAGCAGCCGCGGUAAUACGAAGGGACCUAGCGUAGUUCGGAAUUACUGGGCGUAAAGAGUAUGUAGGCGGCUAGAUAAGUUAAUUGUGAAAGCCCAAAGCUUAACUUUGGAAUUGCAAUUAAAACUAUUUAGCUGGAGUAUGAUAGAGGAAAGCGGAAUACAUAGUGUAGAGGUGAAAUUCGUAGAUAUUAUGUAGAACACCAGUUGCGAAGGCGGCUUUCUGGAUCAUUACUGACGCUGAGAUACGAAAGUAUGGGUAGCGAAGAGGAUUAGAUACCCUCGUAGUCCAUACUGUAAACGAUGAUUAUUAGAUGUGGGGAAUUAUUUCUCUGUAUCACAGCUAACGCGUUAAAUAAUCCGCCUGGGGAGUACGACCGCAAGGUUAAAACUCAAAUGAAUUGACGGGGACCCGCACAAGUAGUGGAGCAUGUGGUUUAAUUCGAAGAUACGCGCAGAACCUUACCAACACUUGACAUGUUCGUCGCGACUCUAAGAGAUUAGAGUCUUCGGUUCGGCCGGACGAAACACAGGUGCUGCAUGGCUGUCGUCAGCUCGUGUCGUGAGAUGUUGGGUUAAGUCCCGCAACGAGCGCAACCCUCACUUUUAGUUGCCAUCAUUAAGUUGGGCACUCUGAA
This 1089-nucleotide ribosomal RNA is filed under the name uncultured bacterium. Its description in RNAcentral is "bacterial SSU rRNA". It matches the Rfam family "Bacterial small subunit ribosomal RNA", at positions 8 to 1144 of the family's 1533-position model. The record is from RNAcentral.